CAACAUCUUGGUUCUCUCCAUGUUUCUUUACACACACAAACCUGAAAUUGUGGCACAGCCUCUUGGGCCCAAACUCAGUCUAGUUUUCGAUGUCACUAAUUUGAUUUAAUUUCUUAAAAAAGGGAAGUAUUGAUGCAGCCUAUCAAGAAUCAAGACUUUUAAGCACUUUCAAUGUCCUUGCAGAAAUUUUUGUAAGAUGGAAUGUGUAGAGAGAAUGUCCAGAUUAUGAGUUAAGCAUAAAGCAUAAAGAACUUAACAAUAAGCAAGCAAUUUGAAUUGUUAUACUAUUGGCUAAGGUGGAUUAUUGAAAUAGCCAAAUAGGUGUAAAAUCCAAUUUAAAAUUUGAAAACAGUAGAUGGGAAGAGACAUGGUUCAGUGUGAACAACCAUGAAAUGUGAAGAUCUAAUCAAAAUAAACGAAACAUAACAAAC
Molecule: long non-coding RNA, 431 nt
Filed under: Olea europaea subsp. europaea
Lineage: Eukaryota; Viridiplantae; Streptophyta; Magnoliopsida; Lamiales; Oleaceae
Source: RNAcentral